This 1431-nucleotide long non-coding RNA is filed under the name Vulpes vulpes (red fox). RNAcentral describes it as "lncRNA (ENSVVUG00000000918.1)". Lineage: Eukaryota; Metazoa; Chordata; Mammalia; Carnivora; Canidae. The record is from RNAcentral.
AUGCCCAGCCCCGUGCCCUGCGCCCCAUGCCCCCUGUGGCGCCCAGGCCUGCAUUGGAGACAUCACGCUCAGCAAGUCCCACCCACCGAGGAAACUAGGCCCCGGUCGUGCCGCCGGAUGAUGCUUCCGGGCGAUGCUCCAGACGCAGCGCUUCCCGGGAACGGCCCCUGGCCCCACGCAGGCCCCACGCAGGCCCCAUGCACCCGCCUCGGGGGCUCCUCAGCCCAGGGGAUGAGUCAGAGCCCGCGGCGGCAGACAUGCGAGGCGAUGCUCCGCGGGCGGCCUCCGGGGCUCGGGCGGGACCGCGGCCGCCUCUGCGCCUGCUUGGAGGGCGGGCGACAGCCGCCAGCCGGGGACGGGACCGGCCGCGAAGCAGGCGCCGUAACCAUGGGGACGGGGGAGGCGCCGGGCGGUGGCCGCUCCCGCUCCCCGCUCCCCGCUCCCCGCUCCCCGCUCCCGAGCCCGCAGUGGUUCUUCCCGCGCCGCCCGCCACACUGCGGAGCCGAUUUAAAGGGACAACCGGCCGCUGUCGCCUUGGCUCCCUACAGAACCAGAUGACUCCGUUAGACAUCCCCUGAAGGGAGGCGGGGGGACUGGGUGGUUUUAUUUUAUUUUAUUUUUUGCAGGAAAUCCGUGUCUGUUGAGGCUCAGGAACGGACACGUGAGCAAGAAAAUUGAUUUCAGAGGAAUUCUCACGGGCCUUGUGUUAGAGUAGCCUCCAGCUCACACUGUCCGCAGGAGGUGAGCCCACCUUGGGUCUGUCCCCCCGAGGGCCGGCGACCCCCUGCCCCAGCCCGGGGUCCCGGCCCCCAGCCCCGCGACAGGCCGGGUGCCGGGAGGGCGACGGGGCUGAGGGCAGGCGUGAGCCCCGGGGACGGGAACCCGGGCAGGCGAGGGGGUCCCGGGGUUCCAGCCCCGAGCCCCAGGCAGCUGCGGUGGGGGCCCUGGGGAGACCCCCGCUGUCCCCUCUGGGCGGGAAGGUCGUGACACUGGGCCUGCUUGGAGAGUCACUGGGUUCAGGACGCCUGGGCCCCGACGCCGGGGGGACAUCCUUCAGGGUGAAGCCUUCAGGGGGCCCUGCCUGAGGGGCUGCGUCCUUGGCUCCUGGGGGUCGGGUCGCUGUGAGGAGCCCGGGCUCCCGACCAGGGACGUGAGACCCGAGGGCUGCACGGAUUUUCCGGUCGCCCAGAGAGCGAGUGUCAGCGUGGGCCCCCCUCAGGCCCCGACCCACCCUGCUGCCCCGGGGUUGCACCCCCAGAGCUCAAGGGGUCGAGGGCCCGGGUUGGUGCUUCUGUGUGAGUGGGGGCAAGAGGAGGGCGGGAAGACCCACAGCCCCUGACAACCCCCAGUCCCUGAGCACCCCCAGCUCCUGACCGCCUCCAGCCCUAGACCACCGGCCCUUGACCACCUGCAGCCCCUGAUGACCCCCCG